Molecule: ribosomal RNA, 773 nt
Filed under: uncultured Neocallimastigales
Lineage: Eukaryota; Fungi; Neocallimastigomycota; Neocallimastigomycetes; Neocallimastigales
Description: partial large subunit ribosomal RNA
Rfam family: Eukaryotic large subunit ribosomal RNA
Source: RNAcentral
UACACGCUGUGACUAGCAUAUCAAUAAGCGGAGGAAAAGAAACUAACAAGGAUUCCCCUAGUAACGGCGAGUGAAGCGGGAAGAGCUCAAAUUUGAAAUCUUAAAGGGUUUCCCUUUACGAAUUGUAGUUUAAAGAAGUGUUUUCUGUUGAGGUUUUGGUAAAAGUUCUUUGGAAUAGGACAUCAUAGAGGGUGAGAAUCCCGUAUUUGACCUCUACUUUCAACUUUGUGAUACACUUUCAAAGAGUCGGAUUGCUUGGGAAUGCAGUCCAAAAUGGGUGGUAAAUUUCAUCUAAAGCCAAAUAUUGGCGAGAGACCGAUAGCGAACAAGUACCGUGAGGGAAAGAUGAAAAGAACUUUGAAAAGAGAGUUAAACAGUACGUGAAAUUGUCAAAAGGGAAGCGUUUGACACCAGUGUUGUUUUUCUGAAAAUCAAUUAAAGAACUGUUUAUGCUAAGUUGUUUAGACUUUAUCAGCUAACUGUUUAGUUUUGAGCUUUUCUUUAAUGCACUUUUCAGUUAACAAGUCAACAUCAAUUUCUUUUGCUGUAAAAAAGCUUGAGGAAGGUGGCUUGAGAUUCGUCUUAAGUGUUUAUAGCCUCUUGCCUAUGCAGUCGGAGAGAUUGAGGUCUGCAGCGUAGAUCCUUCGGGGCUAAAUGCAUUUGUGCUAAGUUAUAGCAUUUUAUAGACAACUUGUUGACUAUGAUUUGUCUUGUAGCUUACUCGCUUAUGUUAUUUUACCUACGCUUAGGAUGUUGAAGUCAUCGUAUCGCGC